GUUAGCUUAUAGAUUACUCGGCCUGCGCGCCAUGUAGGCUUGGUAGUUUCUAGGGUCAACAUUUUGGCACGCCUAGUGGGACCCAGUGCUAGACUACGAAGUUCAUGCCAAUUGAAACACGAUCGGUAAAAAAGAAAACAGUUAUGGGAAAGUCGACAGCCGAUCUACCAAAUCAGAACGCAGGACACCAUGUGCCACAAGCGCAGAAUCCCAUUAGCGCCGUGACACCUGAG
This 233-nucleotide long non-coding RNA is filed under the name Malus domestica (apple). Its description in RNAcentral is "long non-coding RNA (MDOM_LNC016875)". Lineage: Eukaryota; Viridiplantae; Streptophyta; Magnoliopsida; Rosales; Rosaceae. The record is from RNAcentral.